AAUGACAUCUCCUUAAUCGGAGAGUUCCCUUCGGGGACAUUGGUGACAGGUGGUGCAUGGUUGUCGUCAGCUCGUGUCGUGAGAUGUUGGGUUAAGUCCCGCAACGAGCGCAACCCUUGUCUUUAGUUGCCAUCAUUAAGUUGGGCACUCUAGAGAGACUGCCAGGGAUAACCUGGAGGAAGGUGGGGAUGACGUCAAAUCAUCAUGCCCCUUAUGCUUAGGGCUACACACGUGCUACAAUGGGUAGUACAGAGGGUUGCCAAGCCGUAAGGUGGAGCUAAUCCCUUAAAGCUACUCUCAGUUCGGAUUGUAGGCUGAAACUCGCCUACAUGAAGCUGGAGUUACUAGUAAUCGCAGAUCAGAAUGCUGCGGUGAAUGCGUUCCCGGGUCUUGUACACACCGCCCGUCACACCACGGGAGUUGGAGACGCCCGAAGCCGAUUAUCUAACCUUUUGGAAGAAGUCGUCGAAGGUGGAAUCAAUAACUGGGGUGAAGUCGUAACAAGGUAGCCGUAUCGGAAGGUGCGGCUGGAUCACCUCCUUU
Molecule: ribosomal RNA, 543 nt
Filed under: Clostridioides difficile
Lineage: Bacteria; Bacillati; Bacillota; Clostridia; Peptostreptococcales; Peptostreptococcaceae
Also listed under: 1 other name
Description: bacterial SSU rRNA
Rfam family: Bacterial small subunit ribosomal RNA
Source: RNAcentral